RNAcentral lists this ribosomal RNA (316 nucleotides) under uncultured methanogenic archaeon. Its description in RNAcentral is "bacterial SSU rRNA". It matches the Rfam family "Archaeal small subunit ribosomal RNA", at positions 325 to 648 of the family's 1478-position model. Lineage: Archaea; Methanobacteriati; Methanobacteriota. The record is from RNAcentral.
ACGGGGCGCAGAGGCGGAAAACUUUACAAUGCAGGAAACUGUGAUAAGGGAACCCGAGUGCCUGUAUGGACAGGCUGUCCAGGUGCGCAAAAAACACCUGGAGAAAGGGCCGGGCAAGACCGGUGCCAGCCGCCGCGGUAAUACCGGCGGCUCGAGUGGUGGCCACUAUUACUGGGCUUAAAGCGUCCGUAGCUGGGUAGUUAAGUCUCUGGGGAAAUCUUCCGGCUCAACCGGAAGGCGUCUCAGGGAUACUGGUUACCUUGGGAUCGGGAGAGGUGAGAGGUACUCUGGGGGUAGGGGUGAAAUCCUGUAAUCC